AUUUGUAUAGUUUAAAUAAAACAUUACAUUUUCAUUGUAAAAAUAGAUCUAAUCUUAUAAAUA
This 63-nucleotide transfer RNA is filed under the name Dibolia rugulosa. RNAcentral's name for it is "tRNA-Glu". It matches the Rfam family "tRNA". Rfam says of the family: Transfer RNA (tRNA) molecules are approximately 80 nucleotides in length. The record is from RNAcentral. Lineage: Eukaryota; Metazoa; Arthropoda; Insecta; Coleoptera; Chrysomelidae.